RNAcentral lists this ribosomal RNA (391 nucleotides) under uncultured bacterium. Its description in RNAcentral is "partial 16S ribosomal RNA". It matches the Rfam family "Bacterial small subunit ribosomal RNA", at positions 523 to 918 of the family's 1533-position model. The record is from RNAcentral.
CUACGUAGGUGGCAAGCGUUAUCCGGAAUUAUUGGGCGUAAAGAGGGAGCAGGCGGCAGCAAGGGUCUGUGGUGAAAGCCUGAAGCUUAACUUCAGUAAGCCAUAGAAACCAGGCAGCUAGAGUGCAGGAGAGGGUCGUGGAAUUCCAUGUGUAGCGGUGAAAUGCGUAGAUAUAUGGAGGAACACCAGUGGCGAAGGCGACGAUCUGGCCUGCAACUGACGCUCAGUCCGAAAGCGUGGGGAGCAAAUAGGAUUAGAUACCCUAGUAGUCCACGCCGUAAACGAUGAGUACUAAGUGUUGGAUGUCAAAGUUCAGUGCUGCAGUUAACGCAAUAAGUACUCCGCCUGAGUAGUACGUUCGCAAGAAUGAAACUCAAAGGAAUUGACGGGG